UGGUCUCUUGCCUCGCUCAAUCCGCUGUUCCAUCAGCAGAUUUCGAGCUGGAUACAUACUAUCUCCUUCUAGGAGAUGGCUUGUACGAGACAAGAGUAAAUGCGACGAUCUUUGAGUACGGAACCGCCUGAAACCAUGUGUCGGACCUCCGUAAUUUAUCUGUCGGGACAUAA
Molecule: small nucleolar RNA, 173 nt
Filed under: Alternaria alternata
Lineage: Eukaryota; Fungi; Ascomycota; Dothideomycetes; Pleosporales; Pleosporaceae
Also listed under: 1 other name
Source: RNAcentral